Molecule: ribosomal RNA, 827 nt
Filed under: uncultured Actinomycetes bacterium
Lineage: Bacteria; Bacillati; Actinomycetota; Actinomycetes
Description: bacterial SSU rRNA
Rfam family: Bacterial small subunit ribosomal RNA
Source: RNAcentral
CAAGUCGAACGCGAAAGCCUCCUUCGGGGGGCAAGUAGAGUGGCGCACGGGUGAGUAACACGUAGGUAAUCUACCUUUGGAUUGGGAAUAACCACCGGAAACGGUGGCUAAUACCGAAUAAUGCAGCGGCACCUAAUGGUGACAGUUGUUAAAGCGGGGGAUCGCAAGACCUCGCGUCUGAAGAGGAGCCUGCGGCAGAUUAGCUAGUUGGUAAGGUAACGGCUUACCAAGGCGAUGAUCUGUAGCCGGCCUGAGAGGGCGGUCGGCCACACUGACACUGACAUACGGGUCAGACUCCUACGGGAGGCAGCAGUCGGGAAUUUUGGGCAAUGGGCGAAAGCCUGACCCAGCAACGCCGCGUGAAGGAUGAAAUCCUUCGGGAUGUAAACUUCGCAAGAACGGGAAGAAUAAGUAAGAGUUAAUAUCUCUUACGAUGACGGUACUGUUUGUAAGCUCCGGCUAACUCCGUGCCAGCAGCCGCGGUAAUACGGGGGGAGCAAGCGUUGUUCGGAUUUACUGGGCGUAAAGGGCGCGUAGGCGGCCACCGCAAGUCGACUGUGAAAUCUCCGGGCUUAACCCGGAAAGGUCAGCCGAUACUGCGGGGCUAGAGUGCAGAAGGGGCAACUGGAAUUCUCGGUGUAGCGGUGAAAUGCGUAGAUAUCGAGAGGAACACCUGCGGCGAAGGCGGGUUGCUGGGCUGACACUGACGCUGAAGCGCGAAAGCUAGGGGAGCGAACGGAAUUAGAUACCCCGGUAGUCCUAGCCUUAAACGAUGAAUGCUUGGUGUCUGGGGUUUUAUAGUCCCCGGGUGCCGUCGCUAACGCUUU